This 253-nucleotide ribosomal RNA is filed under the name uncultured bacterium. RNAcentral describes it as "partial 16S ribosomal RNA". It matches the Rfam family "Bacterial small subunit ribosomal RNA", at positions 524 to 777 of the family's 1533-position model. The record is from RNAcentral.
UACGAAGGGGCUAGCGUUGCUCGGAAUCACUGGGCGUAAAGGGUGCGUAGGCGGGUCUUUAAGUCAGGGGUGAAAUCCUGGAGCUCAACUCCAGAACUGCCUUCGAUACUGGCGAUCUUGAGUCCGGAAGAGGUGAGUGGAACUCCUAGUGUAGAGGUGGAAUUCGUAGAUAUUAGGAAGAACACCAGUGGCGAAGGCGGCUCACUGGUCCGGUACUGACGCUGAGGUGCGAAAGCGUGGGGAGCAAACAGGG